Molecule: long non-coding RNA, 765 nt
Filed under: Trifolium pratense (red clover)
Lineage: Eukaryota; Viridiplantae; Streptophyta; Magnoliopsida; Fabales; Fabaceae
Description: long non-coding RNA (TPRA_LNC008731)
Source: RNAcentral
CAAAUGAGGGAGAUAGUGUAUUAAUUGAUUAAAAGAUGAAAUUAACAGAUUAAGUGCUUUGUGUAACUAGAAAUGACAGUUAGGUUUGUUAUGGUUUGUUAGUAGUUGGUUAUUUUCUGUUUAAUUAGUUAGGAUUGUUUGUAAGACAAAGUUAGUUAUUUGUGUUCCACUCUCUCAUAAUCCAGCUGUCAGUUAUGGCUUGUUAGUUGGAAAGUUGUGAAAUGCACAUAUGACAGAAACAAGUAGUAAUUAGUUUCACAGAAGAUAUAUCCUAUACUAUUUUGACAUUAAUUUGUAUUUUAUUUUUGUCAUUAAUAAAAUAUUUUUACUUAGACCAAGUAAUGUUGAAUUUUUAUAGUGAUAAAAAGUUAUUUAAUGAUAGUGAAUGAUUUAUAAUAGUAGAGAAGUGAACACUGAACAAUGCUGAAGAGGAAAAUAAAUGUUUUUUCAAUGGUCAUUUGAAUCCUUUUAGAUUUGUAGAUUAUAGUUUGAAAAAUAUACUGCCAAAUCUAACAACUAUACAUAAAAAAAAGAUCAUCCAUAAAACCAUAUACCAUUAAAGAAAUACAAUCCAAACAACCAUACAUAAGUCUUUUCACAUCAACCACAAUCAAGAGAAAAUCAUUAAGUAAAAUCAUUAAGUGCUUGCAAAUUAAGUACUGAAAAUAGUAAGACAAUAGAACAUAAAAUCAUUUCUCAAAAUCCUAUGAACACAGCAUGAAAACCAAACCACUAUAUUUCCUUAUACUUCGUCGAUCAAUAUAU